This 253-nucleotide ribosomal RNA is filed under the name uncultured bacterium. RNAcentral's name for it is "partial 16S ribosomal RNA". It matches the Rfam family "Bacterial small subunit ribosomal RNA", at positions 524 to 776 of the family's 1533-position model. The record is from RNAcentral.
UACAGAGGGGGCAAGCGUUGUUCGGAAUUACUGGGCGUAAAGGGCGCGUAGGCGGCCUUCUAAGUCGAACGUGAAAUCCCUGGGCUCAACCCAGGAACUGCGUCUGAUACUGGGUGGCUUGAAUUCGGGAGAGGGAUGCGGAAUUCCAGGUGUAGCGGUGAAAUGCGUAGAUACCUGGAGGAACACCGGUGGCGAAGGCGGCAUCCUGGACCGAGAUUGACGCUGAGGCGCGAAAGCUAGGGUAGCAAACGGG